RNAcentral lists this transfer RNA (72 nucleotides) under Basiliscus vittatus (brown basilisk). RNAcentral's name for it is "tRNA-Ile". It matches the Rfam family "tRNA". Rfam says of the family: Transfer RNA (tRNA) molecules are approximately 80 nucleotides in length. Their secondary structure includes four short double-helical elements and three loops (D, anti-codon, and T loops). Further hydrogen bonds mediate the characteristic L-shaped molecular structure. tRNAs have two regions of fundamental functional importance: the anti-codon, which is responsible for specific mRNA codon recognition, and the 3' end, to which the tRNAs corresponding amino acid is attached (by aminoacyl-tRNA synthetases). tRNAs cope with the degeneracy of the genetic code in two manners: having more than one tRNA (with a specific anti-codon) for a particular amino acid; and 'wobble' base-pairing, i.e. permitting non-standard base-pairing at the 3rd anti-codon position. Lineage: Eukaryota; Metazoa; Chordata; Lepidosauria; Squamata; Corytophanidae. The record is from RNAcentral.
GGAAAUGUGCCUGAGCAUCAUAGGAUUACUUUGAUAGAGUAAAACACAGAGGUUAAAAUCCACUCAUUUCCU